RNAcentral lists this ribosomal RNA (404 nucleotides) under uncultured prokaryote. Its description in RNAcentral is "bacterial SSU rRNA". It matches the Rfam family "Bacterial small subunit ribosomal RNA", at positions 355 to 774 of the family's 1533-position model. The record is from RNAcentral.
UGGGGAAUAUUGGGCAAUGGGGGCAACCCUGACCCAGCGACGCCGCGUGAGGGAAGAAGGCCUUCGGGUUGUAAACCUCUUUUGUAUGGGAAGAAGGAUGUGACGGUACCAUACGAAUAAGUCCCGGCUAACUACGUGCCAGCAGCCGCGGUAAUACGUAGGGGACGAGCGUUGUCCGGAAUUACUGGGCGUAAAGGGCGCGCAGGCUGGUUGAUAAGUCGGCUGAUAAAUAUGGGGGCUUAACCCUUAUAUGCGGUUGAAACUGUCAGACUGGAGUGCUGUAGAGGCAAGUGGAAUUCCCAGUGUAGCGGUGAAAUGCGUAGAUAUUGGGAAGAACACCGGUGGCGAAGGCGACUUGCUGGGCAGCAACUGACGCUGAGGCGCGAAAGCCAGGGGAGCAAACG